UUUCCACUCCAAAGAUUGGCCAGUCAUUGACGAAGACUACCAAAUCAAACCAUUGAAGAACGAAACGCAGAACUGUAUUAAGAGAGAGAGAGAUUGGGGCAAAGUUGAAGAUUAACCUCUACAGCUGAGAGGAGGAGCUCAAGUGGAGUUUCCUAAUUUAUAGUCUCAGUUACCUUCGAUGGAUCCAACAGCAGAUGAGCAGUUGGACUAUGGUGAUGAGGAAUAUGGAGGAAGCCACAAGAUGCAGUACCAUGGAAGUGGGACAAUUCCUGCUCUAGCAGAGGAUGAAAUGAUGGGUGAAGAUGAUGAAUAUGAUGAUCUUUACAAUGAUGUUAACAUUGGGGAAGGUUUCCUACAGCUGCAGCGGUCAGAGGUUCCAGUUCCUUCUGUUGAUGCGGGAAAUGGGAAUUUUCAAGCCCAGAAAGAUAGUUUUCCUGCCUCAAGGGCUGGUGGUUUAGGAUCAGAGGAGGCGAAAAUCCCUGGUAUUGCAACAGAAGGGAAGUAUGCUGGCGCUGAAGUCCAAUUUCCCCAGCAAAAGGGUGGGCCUGUAGUUGAAAGGGAAACUGAACGACCUGCUGAUGCUGCACAAAAAGCAAGGCCUUCAGCAAUUACAAUGACUCUCAAUUCUCAAGCGGGGAACUCUGGUUACCAAGGAUCCAUGCCAAUGCCCCAGAAAAUUGGUGCUGAUCCUAUGGCUAUGCCAGAAAAAAAUGCCAGUGAAGCUACACCAUUGAUGAAUUCUGUUGUGGCUGGACCAAGAGUUGUUCCGCACAUGCCAACUAAUCAAUUGAACUCAAGUGGGAAUGUUAACAUGAAUAAUCCAGUUAUUAGUGAGACUCCUUUUAGGCCAUCUCUGGAGAAUGGCAACACCAUGCUCUUUGUUGGAGAAUUGCACUGGUGGACUACUGAUGCUGAGCUUGAGAGUGUGCUAACUCAAUAUGGGAAUGUAAAGGAGAUCAAGUUCUUUGAUGAGAGAGCUAGUGGCAAGUCUAAAGGCUAUUGUCAAGUUGAGUUUUUUGACCCAGCUUCUGCAGCUGCUUGCAAAGAAGGAAUGAAUGGUUAUAAUUUCAAUGGGCGAGCCUGUGUUGUCGCAUUUGCAACUCCACAAACUAUAAAACAGAUGGGUUCCUCAUAUGCGAACAAAACUCAAAACCAGGUGCAGUCUCAACCACAGGGGCGGAGACCCAUGAAUGAGGGAGUUGGUAGAGGUGGGCCAAAUUACACCCCUGGAGAUGCUGGGAGGAAUUUCGGAAGAGGUAGUUGGGGGCGUGGAGGGCCAGGUAUGCCUAACAGAGGACCUGGGGGUGGACCAGUGAGGGGAAGAGGAGCCAUGGGAUCGAAGAAUAUGAUGGUGAAUCCUGGAGCUGGCAAUGGUGCUGGUGGAGCUUUUGGGCAAGGACUUGCAGGUCCAGCAUUUGGUGGUCCUCCUGCAGGUCUAAUGCAUCCCCAGGGCAUGAUGGGUCCUGGUUUUGAUCCCAGUUUUAUGGGUCGAGGAGCUGGUUAUGGAGGAUUUUCAGGUCCUGCAUUUCCCGGGAUGAUGCCUCCAUUUCCAGCUGUUAAUCCUAUGGGUCUUCCUGGAGUGGCUCCUCAUGUCAACCCUGCAUUCUUUGGUCGAGGAAUGGCUGCAAAUGGAAUGGGAAUGAUGAGUGCUGCUGGGAUGGAUGGGCCUCAUCCAGGAAUGUGGACUGACACAAGCGGGGGAGGAUGGGGAGGAGAAGAACAUGGCAGGAGAACUAGAGAGUCCAGUUAUGGGGGUGAAGAUAAUGCAUCAGAGUAUGGCUAUGGAGAGGUUAGCCAUGAUAAAGGAGCCAGGUCAAGUGCUGUGUCCAGGGAAAAGGAACGGGGUUCUGAGCGUGACUGGUCAGGCAACUCUGACAGGCGGCAUCGUGAUGAAAGAGAACAUGACAGAGAUAGGCAUGAUAAAGAGCACAGAUACAGGGAAGAAAGGGAUGGUUACCGGGACUAUCGUCAAAAGGAGCGUGAAUCAGAGUAUGAGGAAGACUAUGACCGUGGACAGUCUUCUUCAAGAUCCCGUAGCAAAUCCCGAGCAGCUCAGGAGGAGGAUCAUAGGUCUAGAUCAAGAGACACAAAUUAUGGGAAACGUAGACGCGCACCUUCUGAAUGAUCUCAUCUAUGCUGCCGUGCAUCUAUUUUCCAAGUCUUUUAUAGGACUACAGGCGCAAUUAUUAACCUUUGGUGAUGUCCUUCCUUCAGCUACUUGUAUGCAGUGGCGUUCUUCCUGUUUUGUGUUGGUGCUGAUAUUCUGUGGUUUCAGGACUUAAAGAAGGAGCCGCGAGGCAACUCUCUGUUUUUCGUGACUAAAUCAGCAUAAUUUGGUUAUCUGGAGGAAGAUGAGUUAAAUUGGACAAUUGUUUGAAAAUGCUAGUCUCUGCCUAGUGCCCUAGUGCGCCUGCGAUGUUUGUCUGUAAUUUUGUUUUCUUUAGCAUAUAACAUCGUGGGCAUCCAAUUUAGAUAGGGAUGCAUCAGCAGGCCCACCAGUCUUUUAAAGCUCUACUGUGAGCUAUGUAUUGUAGAUAUGUAGUAGGUUCCAUCAUGUGUAAUGUUUCAUACACGUAUUUUUUGCUCUUUUUUGAGCUUUGUAAAGAUCUUGUACCAAGUCUGCUGAGCACUUUGUCCUGUAGAUUUCAGUAUGGUGGGUUUGUACAUAGUAAUGCUAGUCUAGGUUAGUUGUGGUCGGUUAGAAGCUUUUGUAUGGUGCUGUAAUCCAAAAUAUAGGUGAUUGCUGUAACAUCUGGAGGAGUUGGCUUAUUAUUCAUCGCAGAUACAGAUUGCAUCUGUGGGAACCUCCCUGUAGGCCUGUAAAAACAUUUUUGUUGUUAGAUCAUACACCAAGUGUAAAUUUCUGUUGUAAUAUCUGAUAAUUUGAUCGGCUCUGCUUUUUUGUAA
This is an RNA transcript of Solanum stenotomum, 2907 nucleotides long. RefSeq lists it as uncharacterized. NCBI's taxonomy places the organism in Eukaryota, Viridiplantae, Streptophyta, Magnoliopsida, Solanales, Solanaceae. The transcript is spliced from 3 exons. The record is from RefSeq and is a predicted model, not a curated record.